UACGUAGGGUGCGAGCGUUAAUCGGAAUUACUGGGCGUAAAGUGUGCGCAGGCGGCCGAGCAAGUCGAGUGUGAAAGCCCCGAGCUUAACUUGGGAACUGCGCUCGAAACUACUUGGCUAGAGUGUGGCAGAGGGAGGUGGAAUUCCACGUGUAGCGGUGAAAUGCGUAGAGAUGUGGAGGAACACCGAUGGCGAAGGCAGCCUCCUGGGCCAACACUGACGCUCAUGCACGAAAGCGUGGGGAGCAAACAGG
RNAcentral lists this ribosomal RNA (253 nucleotides) under uncultured bacterium. Its description in RNAcentral is "partial 16S ribosomal RNA". It matches the Rfam family "Bacterial small subunit ribosomal RNA", at positions 524 to 776 of the family's 1533-position model. The record is from RNAcentral. RNAcentral also lists the same sequence under 1 other name.